This 328-nucleotide ribosomal RNA is filed under the name uncultured eukaryote. RNAcentral's name for it is "partial 18S ribosomal RNA". It matches the Rfam family "Eukaryotic small subunit ribosomal RNA", at positions 1470 to 1796 of the family's 1831-position model. The record is from RNAcentral.
CCCUUAGAUGUCCUGGGCUGCACGCGCGCUACACUGAUGUGUCCAGUAAGCACCUAACCUCUUCCGAAAGGAACGGGUAACCUUUGCAAAGCACAUCGUGAUGGGGAUAGAUUAUUGCAAUUAUUAGUCUUGAACGAGGAAUUCCUAGUAAGCACAAGUCAUCAGCUUGUGUUGAUUACGUCCCUGCCCUUUGUACACACCGCCCGUCGCUACUACUGAUUGGAUGUUUAAGCGAGGUUCUCGAACUGCUAGUGACUGAUCUUCGGUGAGGUCGCAGUGUGGGAAGUGAACCUAGCUUUGGUGUCUAGAGGAAGUAAAAGUCGUAACA